RNAcentral lists this non-coding RNA (503 nucleotides) under Vairimorpha ceranae BRL01. RNAcentral's name for it is "Nosema ceranae BRL01 Eukaryotic large subunit ribosomal RNA". It matches the Rfam family "Eukaryotic large subunit ribosomal RNA", at positions 2205 to 2590 of the family's 3401-position model. Lineage: Eukaryota; Fungi; Microsporidia; Nosematidae. The record is from Rfam by way of RNAcentral.
GUGCAUUUAUUGUUAAAGUUGUGUAAGCGAAUGUAAACGGCGGGAGUAACUAUGACUCUCUUAAGGUAGCCAAAUGCCUCGUCAUUUAAUUGGUGACGCGCAUGAAUGGAGCAACGAGAUUCCUACUGUCCCUACUUACAAUUUUGUGAAACCACUAUACAAGGGAACGGGCUUGUUAUUUAUCAGCGGGGAAAGAAGACCCUGUUGAGCUUGACUUUAGUAUGUUCUAAUAAUUAUUCGAUAUAUUGUAGAGAGGUGGGAGAUUAUUUGUGAAACCACUAGUAUGUAUGUUGGGGUCCGCCAAAAGGAAAAAAAAGGAGAAGUUGAAAGCUGCGAGAUUGGAGUCGAUUUAUCGACUUCUGGAGUACAAGAAAGUGCUAAAGCAUUAGUAUUGGAAGGAAUUAAACCAGUUAGUGAAGUUUGUAGCUACCGCAGGGUUACAAUUCACGAUGAUCAAGAAUUGAAUGAUUCUUGGUCUAAAAAUGUCAGCUUGUUCGAGAGAA